UACAGAGGUCUCAAGCGUUGUUCGGAUUCAUUGGGCGUAAAGGGUGCGUAGGUGGCGGGGUAAGUCAGGUGUGAAAUCUCGGAGCUCAACUCCGAAACUGCACUUGAUACUGCCUUGCUCGAGUACUGGAGAGGAGAUUGGAAUUUACGGUGUAGCAGUGAAAUGCGUAGAUAUCGUAAGGAAGACCAGUGGCGAAGGCGAAUCUCUGGACAGUUACUGACACUGAGGUGCGAAAGCGUGGGGAGCAAACAGG
RNAcentral lists this ribosomal RNA (253 nucleotides) under uncultured bacterium. RNAcentral's name for it is "partial 16S ribosomal RNA". It matches the Rfam family "Bacterial small subunit ribosomal RNA", at positions 524 to 776 of the family's 1533-position model. The record is from RNAcentral.